RNAcentral lists this ribosomal RNA (24 nucleotides) under Hirsutella rhossiliensis. Its description in RNAcentral is "partial 28S ribosomal RNA". Lineage: Eukaryota; Fungi; Ascomycota; Sordariomycetes; Hypocreales; Ophiocordycipitaceae. The record is from RNAcentral.
GUUGACCUCGGAUCAGGUAGGGUA